This 74-nucleotide transfer RNA is filed under the name Gehongia tenuis. RNAcentral's name for it is "tRNA-Gly". It matches the Rfam family "tRNA". From Rfam's summary of the family: Transfer RNA (tRNA) molecules are approximately 80 nucleotides in length. The record is from RNAcentral. Lineage: Bacteria; Bacillati; Bacillota; Clostridia; Christensenellales; Christensenellaceae.
GCGGGCGUAGCUCAAUGGUAGAGCCCCAGCUUCCCAAGCUGGUCGUGAGGGUUCGAUUCCCUUCGUCCGCUCCA